GUGCCAGCCGCCGCGGUAAUACGGAGGGUGCAAGCGUUGUUCGGAUUUACUGGGCGUAAAGCGCGCGCAGGCGGAUAGGUAAGUCAGAUGUGAAAUCUCGGGGCCCAACCUCGAAACUGCGUCUGAAACUAUCUAUCUAGAAUCUCGGAGGGGGAAGUGGAAUUUCGCAUGUAGGGGUAAAAUCCGUAGAGAUGCGAAGGAACACCGGAGGCGAAGGCGACUUCCUGGCCGAGCAUUGACGCUGAGGCGCGAAAGCGUGGGUAGCAAACAGGAUUAGAAACCCGGGUAGUCC
RNAcentral lists this ribosomal RNA (292 nucleotides) under uncultured bacterium. Its description in RNAcentral is "partial 16S ribosomal RNA". It matches the Rfam family "Bacterial small subunit ribosomal RNA", at positions 505 to 796 of the family's 1533-position model. The record is from RNAcentral.